UGAUUAGAAGCUUGCUUCUAUGACGUUAGCGGCGGACGGGUGAGUAACACGUGGGCAACCUGCCUGUAAGACUGGGAUAACUUCGGGAAACCGAAGCUAAUACCGGAUAGGAUCUUCUCCUUCAUGGGAGAUGAUUGAAAGAUGGUUUCGGCUAUCACUUACAGAUGGGCCCGCGGUGCAUUAGCUAGUUGGUGAGGUAACGGCUCACCAAGGCAACGAUGCAUAGCCGACCUGAGAGGGUGAUCGGCCACACUGGGACUGAGACACGGCCCAGACUCCUACGGGAGGCAGCAGUAGGGAAUCUUCCGCAAUGGACGAAAGUCUGACGGAGCAACGCCGCGUGAGUGAUGAAGGCUUUCGGGUCGUAAAACUCUGUUGUUAGGGAAGAACAAGUACAAGAGUAACUGCUUGUACCUUGACGGUACCUAACCAGAAAGCCACGGCUAACUACGUGCCAGCAGCCGCGGUAAUACGUAGGUGGCAAGCGUUAUCCGGAAUUAUUGGGCGUAAAGCGCGCGCAGGCGGUUUCUUAAGUCUGAUGUGAAAGCCCACGGCUCAACCGUGGAGGGUCAUUGGAAACUGGGGAACUUGAGUGCAGAAGAGAAAAGCGGAAUUCCACGUGUAGC
This 626-nucleotide ribosomal RNA is filed under the name Bacillus sp. (in: firmicutes). RNAcentral's name for it is "bacterial SSU rRNA". It matches the Rfam family "Bacterial small subunit ribosomal RNA", at positions 69 to 679 of the family's 1533-position model. The record is from RNAcentral. Lineage: Bacteria; Bacillati; Bacillota; Bacilli; Caryophanales; Bacillaceae.